AGCGAACGCUGGCGGCAGGCCUAACACAUGCAAGUCGAACGAACUCUUCGGAGUUAGUGGCGGACGGGUGAGUAACACGUGGGAACGUGCCUUUUGGUUCGGAAUAACUCGGGGAAACUUGUGCUAAUACCGAAUGCGCCCUUCGGGGGAAAGAUUUAUCGCCAUUAGAGCGGCCCGCGUCUGAUUAGCUAGUUGGUGAGGUAACGGCUCACCAAGGCGACGAUCAGUAGCUGGUCUGAGAGGAUGACCAGCCACACUGGGACUGAGACACGGCCCAGACUCCUACGGGAGGCAGCAGUGGGGAAUCUUGCGCAAUGGGCGAAAGCCUGACGCAGCCAUGCCGCGUGAAUGAUGAAGGUCUUAGGAUUGUAAAAUUCUUUCACCGGGGACGAUAAUGACGGUACCCGGAGAAGAAGCCCCGGCUAACUUCGUG
Molecule: ribosomal RNA, 433 nt
Filed under: uncultured bacterium
Lineage: Bacteria
Description: partial 16S ribosomal RNA
Rfam family: Bacterial small subunit ribosomal RNA
Source: RNAcentral